UCGUAACAAGGUUUCCGUAGGUGAACCUGCGGAAGGAUCAUUAGUGAAUGCCCUCACGGGCUUAACUAUCCAACCAACCUCUGUGAACUGUCGCCCUCGGGCGCUUCUAUAACAAACUAUAACUGUCAUGAACGUCGUAUACAAAAACAAACACAACUUUCAACAACGGAUCUCUUGGCUCUCGCAUCGAUGAAGAACGCAGCGAAAUGCGAUAAGUAAUGUGAAUUGCAGAAUUCAGUGAAUCAUCGAAUCUUUGAACGCACCUUGCGCCCUCUGGUAUUCCGGAGGGCAUGCCUGUUUGAGUGUCAUGUAGACUCAACCCCCCUGGUUUAUGAUCGGGAAGGGUUGGAUGUGGGCGCUGCCGAUUGCCGGCUCGCCUUAAAUGUCUUAGCGGCUCAGAAGCCCCGACCUAGCGUAAUAAGUUUCGCUGGAGAGGGUGUGGAUGACUGCUUACAACCGCCCUCGGGCAAUCUUUUGACUCUGGCCUCAAAUCAGGUAGGACUACCCGCUGAACUUAAGCAUAUCAAA
This 528-nucleotide ribosomal RNA is filed under the name Saitozyma flava. RNAcentral describes it as "eukaryotic LSU rRNA". The stretch from base 155 to 308 matches the Rfam family "5.8S ribosomal RNA". The record is from RNAcentral. Lineage: Eukaryota; Fungi; Basidiomycota; Tremellomycetes; Tremellales; Trimorphomycetaceae.